This 426-nucleotide ribosomal RNA is filed under the name uncultured bacterium. RNAcentral describes it as "bacterial SSU rRNA". It matches the Rfam family "Bacterial small subunit ribosomal RNA", at positions 355 to 774 of the family's 1533-position model. RNAcentral also lists the same sequence under 1 other name. The record is from RNAcentral.
UCGAGAAUUUUUCUCAAUGGGGGAAACCCUGAAGGAGCGACGCCGCGUGGAGGAUGAAGGCUUUCGGGUUGUAAACUCCUGUCAUUUGGGAACAAUGGUUACGCGUUAACUGCGCGUGAUUUGAUAGUACCAGAAGAGGAAGAGACGGCUAACUCUGUGCCAGCAGCCGCGGUAAUACAGAGGUCUCAAGCGUUGUUCGGAUUCAUUGGGCGUAAAGGGUGCGUAGGUGGCGCGCUAAGUCAGGUGUGAAAUUUCGGAGCUUAACUCCGAAACUGCAUUUGAUACUGGCGUGCUUGAGGACUGGAGAGGAGACUGGAAUUCACGGUGUAGCAGUGAAAUGCGUAGAGAUCGUGAGGAAGACCAGUGGCGAAGGCGGGUCUCUGGACAGUUCCUGACACUGAGGCACGAAGGCCAGGGGAGCAAACG